CAGUCGCCACGGUAAUACGAAGGGGGCUAGCGUUGUUCGGAAUUACUGGGCGUAAAGCGCACAUAGGCGGACUUUUAAGUCAGGGGUGAAAUCCCGGGGCUCAACCUCGGAACUGCCUUUGAUACUGGAAGUCUUGAGUGUGGAAGAAGUAAGUGGAAUUGCGAGUGUAGAGGUGAAAUUCGUAGAUAUUCGCAGGAACACCAGUGGCGAAGGCGGCUUACUGGUCCACAACUGACGCUGAGGUGCGAAAGCGUGGGGAGCAAACAGGAUUAGAUACCCCCGUAGUCCCUGUCUCUUAUAC
This 301-nucleotide ribosomal RNA is filed under the name uncultured bacterium. RNAcentral's name for it is "partial 16S ribosomal RNA". It matches the Rfam family "Bacterial small subunit ribosomal RNA", at positions 509 to 807 of the family's 1533-position model. The record is from RNAcentral.